Molecule: non-coding RNA, 777 nt
Organism: Podarcis lilfordi (Lilford's wall lizard)
Lineage: Eukaryota; Metazoa; Chordata; Lepidosauria; Squamata; Lacertidae
Source: the annotation of a GenBank genome assembly
GUUGUCAAGCCUCUGCUUAAAGACCUCCAAAGAAGGAGACUCCACCACACUCCUUGGCAGCAAAUUCCACUGUCGAACAGCUCUUACUGUCAGGAAGUUCUUCCUAAUGUUUAGGUGGAAUCUUCUUUCUUGUAGUUUGGAUCCAUUGCUCUGUGUCCGCUUCUCUGGAGCAGCAGAAAACAACCUUUCUCCCUCCUCUAUAUGACAUCCUUUUAUAUAUUUGAACAUGGCUAUCAUAUCACCCCUUAACCUCGUCUUCUCCAGGCUAAACAUGCCCAGCUCCCUUAGCCGUUCCUCAUAAGGCAUCGUUUCCAGGCCUUUGACCAUUUUGGUUGCCCUCCUCUGGACACGUUCCAGUUUGUCAGUGUCCUUCUUGAACUGUGGUGCCCAGAACUGGACACAGUACUCCAGGUGAGGUCUGACCAGAGCAGAAUACAGUGGCACUAUUACUUCCCUUGAUCUAGAUGCUAUACUCCUAUUGAUGCAGCCCAGAAUUGCAUUGGCUUUUUUAGCUGCCGCGUCACACUGUUGGCUAAUGUCAAGUUUGUGGUCAACCAAGACUCCUAGAUCCUUUUCACAUGUACUGCUCUCAAGCCAGGUGUCACCCAUCUUGUAUUUGUGCCUCUCAUUUUUUUUGCCCAAGUGCAAUACUUUACAUUUCUCCCUCUUAAAGUUCAUCUUGUUUGUUUUGGCCCAGUUCUCUAAUCUGUCAACGUCGUUUUGAAGUGUGAUCCUGUCCUCUGGGGUGUUAGCCACCCCUCCCAGUUUGGUGUCAUC